AAAAAAGAAUAAGUACAAGUAAUCCUUGAUUUAUAAAGCCUCAAAUUAUGCAGUCUCAAAAUUUCAAAAUUUGUAAUUUAUACAUUUGUAAUGUUUUUUAUAGAUUUUAUUACUAUUAUACACAGUUUACAUGAAUUUCUAGAAGUUUUUGUAAAUACAACGAAAAGGGACCAUCUGAAUAUAUCUCCCUCUGCCAAUGAGAAUUGGAUGAAAACUUUCAGAAACUAACCAGCAACACAUAAAAGGAGGUGUAGUGUCCUUCAGUAAAAGAUGACAACAGGAUAACUAACAAAAUUAAAUUUAUUCACAUUAUUCUACAUAGUCAUUAGAUAGAGUGAACUAUCACGUGUCAUGUACACAAAGCACAAGAAAGACAGAAGUUCUCACCUAGCAACAAAGAUGAGUUACUUAUGCCAGAUGCCCUUUCAUUAUCCAUGGAAACUAUUUUUACCAUUCAGUAAAAAUAAUCUGAGUAAUCCAUGUCUUUAUAACAUAUAUAAGUCUGAAGAACUUGUUUUCUCAAAAACUAUAAAGUCAAAAAUAUCAGCACUAUAAGCAAGUAUGUCACAC
Molecule: long non-coding RNA, 570 nt
Filed under: Androctonus crassicauda
Lineage: Eukaryota; Metazoa; Arthropoda; Arachnida; Scorpiones; Buthidae
Source: RNAcentral